GAGCGACACACACUGAAGCAACAAGCUUCUAAGAAUGGACUUCUCGACCGGCCCAAUAUAAGUUCAUUAGCAGUGGGCUAAGCCCAUGAUAAUCUAUCUCCACAGGCUCACGAACCAAUUUUAUUUAUUUAAUUUUAUUUUGUAUUUCCUGUUAUUUCCAAAAUUGGUUUGGUUGCUGCAUCAUAUGUCUGCCUUGUUUUCCGCUUCCUGCUUU
This 214-nucleotide long non-coding RNA is filed under the name Citrus sinensis (sweet orange). RNAcentral's name for it is "long non-coding RNA (CSIN_LNC002385)". Lineage: Eukaryota; Viridiplantae; Streptophyta; Magnoliopsida; Sapindales; Rutaceae. The record is from RNAcentral.